RNAcentral lists this long non-coding RNA (5340 nucleotides) under Sus scrofa (pig). Its description in RNAcentral is "lncRNA (ENSSSCG00000060438.1, ENSSSCG00105003610.1)". The record is from RNAcentral. Lineage: Eukaryota; Metazoa; Chordata; Mammalia; Artiodactyla; Suidae.
UCUCUUAUGGUUUUUUGUAUUUCUGCUGUAUCCGUUGUGAUUUCUCCUUUUUCAUUUAUAAUUUUGGUGAUUUGGGUUCUUUCUCUCCUCUUUUUAGUGAGUCUGGCCAGGGGUUUGUCAAUUUUGUUCACCUUUUCAAAGAACCAGCUCUGGGUUUUAUUAACUUUCUCUAUUGUUUUUUGAGUCUCUAUUUUAUUGAUUUCUUCUUUGAUCUUUAUAAUUUCCUUCCUUCUGCUGACUUUAGGACUUUUUUGUUCUUCUUUUUCUAAUUCGUUUAGGUGGAGGGUUAAGUUGUCAAUUUGGGAUCUUUCUUCUUUUUUGAGAAAGGCCUGUAUUGCUAUAAAUUUCCCUCUGAGCACUGCUUUUGCAGAAUCCCAUAGAUUUUGAGAGGUUGUGUCUUCAUUAUCAGUUGUUUCAAGGUAGUUUUUAAUUUCCUUCUUGAUUUCCUCAUUGACCCAUUGGUUUUUUAGUAGCAUGUUGUUUAGUCUCCAUGGAGUAGGUUUUUUCUCUUUGCUUUUCCCAUGGUUGAUUUCUAAUUUCAUGGCAUUGUGGUCAGAGAAGAUACUUGAGAUAAUUUCUACGCUCCUAAAUUUAUUGAGAUUCGCUUUGUGUCCCAAUAUGUGGUCGAUUCUUGAGAAUGUUCCAUGAGCAUUUGAGAAGAAUGUGUAUUCUGCUUUUUUUGGAUGUGGUGUCCUGAAGAUAUCAAUUAAGUCUAACUUUUCUAUUGUUUCCUUUAGAAUCUCUGUUGCUUUAUUGGUUUUUUGUCUAGAUGAUCUGUCCAUUGAUGUGAGGGGGGUAUUAAGGUCUCCUACUAUGAUUGUAUUCUCAUCAGUAUCUCCCUUUAUGUCUGUUAAUAUUUGUUGUAUGUAUCUGGGUGCUCCUAUAUUUGGGGCAUAUAUGUUGAUGAUAGUAACAUCCUCUCCUUGGAUGGAUCCCUUAAUCAUUAAAUAGUGUCCUUCUUUGUCUUUCUUUAUGUCUUUUGUUUUAAAGUCUAUUUUGUCUGAUAUGAGUGUUGGGACUCCUGCUUUUCUGUCAUGUCUAUUGGCGUGAAAUAUUUUUCCCCACCCUUUCAUUUUCAAUCUAUAUGUAUCUUUUGUCCUAAGGUGAGUUUCUUGUAGGCAGCAUAUUGAAGGUUUUUGCCUUUUUAUCCACUCAGCCACUCUGUGUCUUUGAUUGGGACAUUCAGCCCAUUAACAUUUAAGGUGAUAAUUGAUAGAUGAUUAUUUAUUGCCAUUUGAACCUCAUCCUCGUGGUCCAGUUGAUACUAUGGUUCUCCAUUCUUCCUUUCUUUCUUUUUUUUUUUUUUUUUUUUUUUUGGUUGGAUGGUCUCCUGUUAUUAUCUGCUUGAGUGUAUUUUUUUUUCAUUUUUUGCAAAUGCAAUAUUUGGUUUUGGCUUGUGGUUGCCCUGUUUUUUAAAUAUGCUAACCCCUUCCCAUAGUUGUGUGUUUUAGCCUGAUGGUGCUGUAAGUUCAAACACUUCAUUACUAUAUUAAAAUUAAGAAGAGAGACAUACAAACAAACAAAAAGGGUUAUUUACCUCCUGACAUCCCUUGCCCACAUUUUAUGGUUUUGAUGACUCUUUUUUAUUUUUUUCUUUUUAAUUUUAUUUUGUUUGAAGCAUGUUCAUGAUUAAAUCUGUAUGCUGGCUUAUUUGAGUGACUGCUCUCUGAUUGCAGUUUCCUCAGUCCUAGUUCUUCCUCUUCUUCUUCUUCCUUUUUUUUUCUUUUCUUUUUUCUUCCCUUUCCUUCCUUGCUUUUUGGUUUAGAGAAGCCCUUUCAAUAUUUCCUUUAACCUGGGUUUUAUGUUGCUGUAUUCUUUAAGUUUUUGUUUGUUGGGAAAUAUUUUUAUUUCCCCUUCUAUUUUAAAUGAUAUUCUUGCUGGAUAGAGUAUUCUAGGUUGCAUAUUUUUUCCUUUGAGCACUUUAAAUAUCUCUUGCCAUUCCCUCCUGGCCUGUAGUGUUUCUGUGGAGAAAUCAGCUGAUAUUCUUAUGGGGGUUCCCUUGUAGGUAACAUUCUGUUUUUCUCUUGCUGCCUUGAGGAUCCUCUCUUUAUCACUAACUUUUGCCAUUUUUAUUAUGAUGUGUCUUGGUGUGGGUCUGUUUGGGUUCAGUUUGUUUGGGGCCCUCUGUGCUUCUUGUAUCUUGAACCCAGUGUCCUUUAGAUUUGGGAAGUUUCCAGCAAUAAUUUCUUCAAAUAUAUUUUCCAUCCCCUUAUCUUUUUCUACUCCUUCUGGAAUCCCUAUUAUGCGUAGAUUGGCCCGCUUUAUAUUAUCCCAUAGGUCUCUUAUAUUGCUUUCCAGUUUUUUGAUUCAGUUUUCUGUCUGUUGACUGGAUUGAGUGAUUUCCAUUAUUCUAUCUUCCAUAUCACUGAUUCGUUCUUCUGCAUUAUUCAUUCUGUUUUUUACUGCCCCUAGUUCAGUUUGCAUCUCUGCAAAUGAAUGUUCUAGUUUUUCUUGGCUCCUCCUUAUAUUUUCUAGUUCUUUUCUGAGGGUAUCUGCAUUACUGUUCAUAUCUUCUCUUAAUUCCUUCAGUAUUUUCACUAUUUCUCUUUUGAACUCCAGGUCUGUCUGACUGCAGAGAUCUGUUUCAUUGCUGACUGUUUUAGGUGAGUUCUCCUGUUGGUUUGACUGGGGGUGGUUUCUCAGCUUCUUCAUCUUGCUUGUUGUUUUCUUUCUCCUGAGGGAGUUGUACUCUCCGUGAUCGGGCAGUGUUUGCUUUGUCACUGCCGUGGAAUAUUUCCUGAGGGCUGGCGUUGUUGGUCAAUCUUUUUUGAGGCAGUGUGGAUUUUCUGGAGUGUUGAUGGGGCUAACAGUGUUUCUUUGAAGCAAAGGAGGGCUUCCUGAGGGCAGACAGGACUGGGAGGUCCACACCACGAUGGUAGCAGAUUUCACUUGGCCAUGCAGAGCUUGCUCUGGUGUUUUUAGGCUGUGGGGUUCUUGCAGGGGGUUGGCAGUGUUGGGCAGCUGCUCCUCAGGAGUGCUGGGAGCUGGGGGCACCCCCUGGGGGCUGGAGCAGCUAUCUUGGUCACUGAGAACCUAAGAGGCUCUUCCCUAGGGCAGCCCAACUCAGAAGGACAGCCUGAGAAUGUAGGCGGAUCUUUUCACAAUCUGGCCGAGCUUGUUGCAGCUUUUCUGGGCUGCAGGGGCUCUUCCAGGGGGCUGGUGGUGCUGAGCAGUUAUUUCACGGGGGUGGGGCACACCCUGGGGGCCUGGGCGGGUAGCAGGGCCACUGGAAACCCAAAAGGCUCCUCCCCAGGGCAGCCCGACUCAGAAAGACCGUCUGAGAUCUUUUCCCAACUCGGCCAGGCUUGUUGCAGCUUUUCUGGGCUGCAGGGGGUCCUGCCUGGAGCUAGCAGUCCUAUGCAGCUGGUCCACUAGGUCUCGGCACCCCCUGGGGGCUUGGGCGGGUAGCAGGGCCGUUGGAGACCCAAGAGGCUCUUCCCCAGGGCAGCCCAACUCAGAAAAACUGUCUGAGAUCUUUUCCCGACUCGGCCAGGCUUGUUGCAGCUUUUCUGGGCUGCAGGGGGUCCUGCCUAGAGCUGGCAGUCCUAUGCAGCUGAUCCACUAGAGCAUCCCCUGGGGGCUUGGGCAGGUAGCAGGGCCAUUGGAAACCCAAGAGGCUCCUCCCUGGGGCAACCCGACUCAGAAAAACCAUCCGAGAAUUAGGCCGAUCUAUUCACGGCCUGGCUAAGCUUGUUCUAGCUUUUCUGGGCUGCAGGCCUUUUCUCGGGGGCUGGUGCUGUUUGGUGCUGCUCUGCGGAAGUGUAGCCCCUCCAAAGGGCAAGCAGGCCUGUGCAGGGACAGCCCCUGUGGUGGUAGGCUUCAGGCAAUUGUUGGGGCCAGCCCUCCUGGAUGGCAGGCAGCCCCAGGUCCAGUGAGAGCAUAGGGGGUGGCGGGGGUGGGGGGAGGGAAUGCACUGGGAAGCAGAGUUUUCAGCUAGCUAGCGGGCCUGUAAGCUUGCUGUGGCGUGGGGGGUAUUCUAUGGGGACCCACCCCUUCUCUCCCCUCCCCAGCACGGGCGCAGACCAGGCUCUUCUCCCAGGUUCCCUCUGAUGUGGCUUUCCACUUCCCCGCCCCUAGAGUAUUGUUCCCUUCCUCUGCAACAGCUUUGUUUUCUAAUCUCCCAGGCAGUCUCUGCCCCGUCAACUGGUUUCUAGACCUCCCAAGCAGUUUCCGCUCCGCCCUGCCCCCCCAGCCCGGGGACUAACCUCUGGAGCCGAGGUCUCGGUGCCCAGCCCCCACCCAGGCGUCUCAAUUUUUGGUGACUGUGCCCGUAGUUCAGAUGGUCUGUUGGGUUCUUGAUCGGCUUUUCCUUACUCCAACUUACUGCUACACUCUUCUCUGCAUCUGGAGAUUCCUCCGGUUUGUUUGAUCUUUCCCCGGGUAGGUGACUUUCCAGGGUGCAGGAUCCCUUUCUCCUCCGCAGUUCCCUUUCGGGAGCACCCGUCCCGCUCGGAUUCACCUUCUCUCACUCUCCUCUUUUCUCCCGUUCUGCCCAGUAAUGUCACGAACUUCUUGCCGUUAUUGGAGUUUAGGUUCCUCUGCCAGCGAUUGGUUGCUGUUCUGUGCGAGUCAUUUAUUCUGUAGAUGUGCUUUUUUUGUUGUGUUUGUGGGGGAGGGCGAGCAUGUCCCCCUACUCCUCCGCCAUCUUGUCCUCUCUCCCCCAUGUUCCAGGUUCUGUUAAUAUGGGGUAUGUGGGUUACACUGACUUACCCCUUCCAAGGCCAUGUAGAGAAGAACCUGUUCUCUCGUCUAGGACUAAGCUUGAUCUGACCUCUAACCCAUGAUAUAAUAUUUUUAAAUCUAUCAUAAACAUUCAUAAAAUUUAAAAUCAGAGACAUGAGAUUCGAAGGUUCCAAAGUGUCUAUGUUCUUCAUAUGAAGACAUUUUUCUAACAUAUGUAGUAAAAACUCAAUCUGAAACUUCAUUUUAAUAAUUUCACCAGAUUAAUCCGAGCUCUUCAUUCAGCACGUGCUAACCAAUAACUGAGUCUCACCAAAUGUUCACUUGAUGGCUCUGCCCCUUCCUGCAUUCACAUGCUGUAUAUAUUUCAAGACACCAUUGUGUUUCUUUCCAAACUUGUGCAUUCCCAUUAAAUUAUUACUUCAUAAUUUAAUUAAAUAUUACAAAAGCUUAUGAGCCAUGAAUAAGAAAAUAAAGUUGCUGCUUCUAUUAAAAUUGAGAAUAAUUCUUUAAAAAGACUAAAUAUAUAGAAAUGAUGAUAAAAAAUCACAAUUAAUUGGGUGGAGGCAGAAAAAUGUAAACAAACUAGAAGGAAAAAAGUAAUAAAAAUUCAGAACUCUGCACUUAGAAUAUUUUUACUUUUUAAAGUUCUUACUUUGC